Molecule: small nuclear RNA, 264 nt
Filed under: Erinaceus europaeus (western European hedgehog)
Lineage: Eukaryota; Metazoa; Chordata; Mammalia; Eulipotyphla; Erinaceidae
Description: 7SK RNA
Rfam family: 7SK RNA
About the family: 7SK was discovered as an abundant small nuclear RNA in the mid-70s but a possible function has only recently been suggested.
Source: Rfam by way of RNAcentral
AGGUUGAAGGCCUGGCUUCUGUAAUUGCUUCCCCAUUGAACGUGGGCUCUGGCAGGUUGAUCCAUACUUCUAGCCUGCACUCUCUCGGUCAAAGAGGAUAUUCUUCCUCAAAUAGAGAAGGGCCAGUCUUCAGUCAAGGGUAAAGGAGUAGCUGCACUCCCCUGCUAGAACCUCCAAACGAGUUCUCAAGGUAUAGUAAAUUCUAACCAUAGGAUUUUCAAAGUAAACCAAACUCCCAAAUAAAUAUUUAUAUUAACUAUCUAU